Molecule: long non-coding RNA, 1195 nt
Organism: Trifolium pratense (red clover)
Lineage: Eukaryota; Viridiplantae; Streptophyta; Magnoliopsida; Fabales; Fabaceae
Exons: 4
Source: RefSeq, a predicted model, not a curated record
CAGCAUUAUUCAAGAUUCUGGUCUAUAAAUAUAAAUAGAAAUCGAAAUUAAACCUGGUUUUAUUUUGCUAUUCAUUCUUCUCCUUCCUUUCAUCUUCGCUCUAACUUCUAACCCUAGAAAUCGAAGGUUGGUUUAUCAUCAUCAUCAUCACUUGGUUGGUGGUUCCCUUUUUCCAGUAUCCAAUCUUUGCUCGAUUAGACAAUGAGGAAAACCUUUGCUGCUGAACGCUCGGUGGUAAUAGAUGAAAACUUUGUUCUUCAAAACCCCCAAAAGAAAGAGAGUAUACCCAUUGAAGGUAUAUAUUAAUAUUAUUGUUAAAGAGGGCAAAAUGAUGUUUCACAAUCAUUCAACUUGCAUUGGACCCGUUGAAGAAAAUGCGUUUAUUGUACAGUGCAGAUCCUUAUCUUCCCCUGAAUGUAAUUCGUAAGGCGGACAUCACACACUCAGAUGCAGCCAGAUAUGGAGGAGGUACUGUACGGACUGGCAGGGCCGGCUCAACACAUGUGGACCUUAAAUCCCUCUAACGUCUACGUGAAUAUCAAGAAGAUGAGGAAUAUGAAGAAGCUCGCGAAAGAGCUUUCCAAGAAGAUGAGGAAUACGAAGUUCGCCAAGGAGUUUUCCAAAAAGAUGAGGAAUACGUCCAACGGACCUCAGCCUGAAGAGCAAGUCGUGAUUGAAAAUGACCAAGUCCAGGCUGAAGAGCUGGUCGUGAUUGAAAAUGACCAAGUCCAGCCUGAAGAGAAGGCUGAUAUUUCUGCUCCACACUUGAUUGAUAAUGACCAAGUCCAUCCUAGAAAGAAGGCUAGGGUUUCCUAUGAGGCAUUGGACCUAGAGGGAGCAUAUAUGCACUCACGAGGAAGAGAAGGCCUGUUUGGUGGACUGAUUACAAUUAAGUCAUUUUCUUAUGACAUCUUUGCAGAUGUAUUGAAGCAAUCUUCUAGAAUUCUGUUAGUAGAUUCAACUCUCCUUUCCAAGUGAGACAUUGAUUCCCAUUGCUUCAAGCAAGAAAGAUAGCCUCCUGAGUAGUAGAAUAGUUCUAAAAAAUUAGAUUAAGUAUGUUUAUGUAAAGUUGGUUCAAGACGUUUAUGUGAAAUUUGAUAUUGAGUUCUGUGGACAAUUUGAUUUAUUUGAGUGUUAUAAAACUUGACAGGUGGUGUAUCUUGGAAUUAUGGGGUAAAGUCAUGUUUACAAAACA